Molecule: ribosomal RNA, 86 nt
Filed under: Bifidobacterium longum subsp. longum EK5
Lineage: Bacteria; Bacillati; Actinomycetota; Actinomycetes; Bifidobacteriales; Bifidobacteriaceae
Description: partial 23S ribosomal RNA
Source: RNAcentral
GUCCCCAUGCAGAACACGUGGUCGAUAGGCCGGACGUGGAAGCCCCGCGAGGGGUGGAGCCGACCGGUACUAACGGACGAAAGGCA